Long non-coding RNA from Homarus americanus (American lobster), 1156 nucleotides. RefSeq lists it as uncharacterized. The transcript has 3 exons. The record is from RefSeq and is a predicted model, not a curated record. NCBI's taxonomy places the organism in Eukaryota, Metazoa, Arthropoda, Malacostraca, Decapoda, Nephropidae.
CGUGUGCAAGUCACAAACAUGGUUAGUGGAGUGACAGUGUUGGUGUAGUGAAGCGUGAUACAACACUGGCUGCCGGGGAGAGGUGAUGAUGGAUUGUGUUGUUGUGGAGGGAAGGGGUAGUAAUGAAUGAGUGAAGCAGUGGAUAGAGUGGUCACAAGGAUCACUGGCACAGGUAGUUUUAGGCGCGCAAGGUGAGCACCCCAUCUCAGGAGAGAAGUGGCGUUUCAUAGGGCGCAGUGCUAUGGCCCACAGGGAUUAUUACCGUUUACACGAAAUGUGUUAUGUGAUUUCCAUUCAUGUUUUCGAAGUGUGCGAUAGAGCGAUACAAUAGUGUGUAUGACGAAGUCGGGGUGGGGUUUUGUUUAUACCGGAAAAGAGAAUACAGUAGUGUAGUAGUGUUGAAAUAUAUAUUGAUGACUGAAAGCGGAAAAUAUGAAAGAUAGAAAUUGUGAAAUAUCGGUGAGAGAAAUUCUAAAAGAAACUUUGUGAGAAACCGGUGAGGAUUGUGAACUUAACCAACUAAAUAAAGAGUGAGAUUGAACACUGGACACUUGAAACUGUCUUGCAGUCUGAAGGUUAAGUCUUAAUCAUAGUGAGAUGAAUGAUGACUUUAAUGCGCAGAACACACCCAAUUAAAGAUGCCUGGAGAACCGGAGAACCUUGUAAACCUCUAGUGUCAGCUGCUGCACUAGUAACGACGCCCAGGAAGUGGUGUUAGUAAAGUGGUGAUAUGCAAGACUGAGUGAGUGAGAACUGUUGCUGCAGAAAAUUAGUGGAUCAGGUGUGGCAAUGAACACAGAGAAGUGGCCAUGUAGGGCAAAUUUUAUGGCAACUAGUGUAUGAAGAUAAACUUUAUGACAACUUCAGGUUGACAAAAAAAAAAUGACAUCUGCAGUAUAAGAGGACUGCUGUGUAAAAGGCGGCUCAGGACUAUGGCUGCUGAGCUACUGCAGAAGGGUCUUCCUCAUCCCUGGAGUUUCGGUGUUACACAAGACGGCCGGAUCUUCUUCAUCAAUGAGGAUGCUCGCCUGACCUCGUGGCUGCACCCCGUCACCUGUGAACCUGUGCUCACCGGCCACCGACCCCUCCCAGAUCUUCCUAAGGGAUGGGAGCGCGGCGUAACCCCAGAAGGCAUCCCCUACUAUAUCGAGUGAGU